Molecule: ribosomal RNA, 966 nt
Filed under: Triticum aestivum (bread wheat)
Lineage: Eukaryota; Viridiplantae; Streptophyta; Magnoliopsida; Poales; Poaceae
Description: partial small subunit ribosomal RNA
Source: RNAcentral
AUGCACUGCCAUUUGAGACUUGACUCAAAGCUAGUGAAGCUAAAAAGCACGGCCGACCUCCAGGCCGAUUCGGUGGGACUAGCCCUUGAUGAGUGCAUGCUUAGGUACGAUCUUGAGGAUCAACUCAUGGUCAUCUACACCGAUGAGGAGGCAUAUUGGCGGCUGCGAGGAACCUAAAAAUGGGUUCUCAAGGGUGACGCCAAUACCGCCUACUUCCAGGCCAUUGCCAACGGUCGUAGGAGACGUAAUACCAUUCCCUUGCUCUGGGAUGGGGAGACCCUCUUGCAACGUACGGAUGACAUCCGAGCUCAUGUAGAUGGCUUCUAUAAAGCCCUCUUUUCCGCCCCCCUAGGGGGCCUGGCCCUUGCUCCAGACUUCUGGGUUGGCACCCACUGCAUUUCAGCUGAAGAAAAAUUAGCCCUCACGGCUCCGUUCACUAAGGAGGAAGUGUGGCUGGCGAUUAAAGGGAUGAACCCCUUGUCUGCCCCUGGUCCCGACGGUCUGCCUGUGAAGUUCUUACAAACCUUCUGGCCGACUAUAAAAACAGAGGUCAUGACCCUCUUUCGGGAGUUCUAUGUGGGCUCCAUUGACCUCCAUCGCCUUAUCUACGGGAUCAUCACAUUGAUCCCCAAGGUGCCCGGCGCCUCGGACACCCGUCAGUUCCGACCGAUCACGGUGAUCAAUGUGAUCUUUCGCAUUCUGGCAAAGGAGUACGCCAAUAGGAUGGCCCCUUUGGCUGACUGCAUCACCCACAAGGACCAAUCCUCCUUCAUCCAAGGUCGGUAUAUCCUGGAUGGGGUUCUUGUCUUUCACGAAGUCCUGCACAACGGCCGGUCCAAAAACCUCAAAGCAGUCUUCCUGAAAAUCGACUUCCACAAGGCUUACGACACAGUUAGCUGGUCCUCCCAUCGGGAAGUGUUUCUUAGGAAAUGCUUUGACGAUCGUGGUGAAGGAAAUAUGCCCUAG